UUCCGGUUGAUCCUGCCGGACCUGACUGCUAUCGGAUUGAUACUAAGCCAUGCGAGUCAUUGUAGCAAUACAAGGCAGACGGCUCAGUAACGCGUAGUCAACCUACCCUAUGGACGGGAAUAACCUCGGGAAACUGAGAAUAAUGCCCGAUAGAACAUUAUGCCUGGAAUGGUUUAUGUUUCAAAUGAUUUAUCGCCGUAGGAUGGGACUGCGGCCUAUCAGUUUGUUGGUGAGGUAAUGGCCCACCAAGACUAUUACAGGUACGGGCUCUGAGAGGAGUAGCCCGGAGAUGGGUACUGAGACACGGACCCAGGCCCUAUGGGGCGCAGCAGGCGAGAAAACUUUGCAAUGUGCGAAAGCACGACAAGGUUAAUCCGAGUGGUUUCUGCUAAAGGAACCUUUUGUCAGUCCUAGAAACACUGAUGAAUAAGGGGUGGGCAAGUUCUGGUGUCAGCCGCCGCGGUAAAACCAGCACCUCAAGUGGUCAGGAUGAUUAUUGGGCCUAAAGCAUCCGUAGCCGGCUCUGUAAGUUUUCGGUUAAAUCUGUACGCUCAACGUACAGGCUGCCGGGAAUACUGUAGAGCUAGGGAGUGGGAGAGGUAGACGGUACUCGGUAGGAAGGGGUAAAAUCCUUUGAUCUAUUGAUGACCACCUGUGGCGAAGGCGGUCUACCAGAACACGUCCGACGGUGAGGGAUGAAAGCUGGGGGAGCAAACCGGAUUAGAUACCCGGGUAGUCCCAGCUGUAAACUAUGCAAACUCAGUGAUGCAUUGGCUUGUGGCCAAUGCAGUGCUGCAGGGAAGCCGUUAAGUUUGCCGCCUGGGAAGUACGUACGCAAGUAUGAAACUUAAAGGAAUUGGCGGGGGAGCACCACAAGGGGUGAAGCCUGCGGUUCAAUU
RNAcentral lists this ribosomal RNA (899 nucleotides) under uncultured archaeon. Its description in RNAcentral is "bacterial SSU rRNA". It matches the Rfam family "Archaeal small subunit ribosomal RNA", at positions 1 to 907 of the family's 1478-position model. The record is from RNAcentral.